UUUCGUCUCCAUAAACCCUACGAAUCUGUUUUUGAAUUUGGAUUGGUUUUUAGAGAGUGAUUGCUUUGUGAUUAUAGCUUAUAGGCUUUUAGGGCUGAUUGGUUUACUCUGAUUUUAGAUGGUUCUUGAGGCUAACAUGAAUGUCAAUUGAGUCCUGUUUAUGCUUGUCCGGGAUGUGUUGUCCAUGGCCACAUGCCUGGUGACUAGUUGUCAAUUCUUCCCACUCAGGUUAUAUGUUAUCAAACCUGUUGUUGUUACCUACUCGAUUUGGCUUAUACCAGUGCUUUCUAUACAAUUGUUUUCAACGUAUUUCCUCGCUUACGUUUUUCAAAAUAUUUCUCUCAAACGUGACCCAAGGCUCGAGCAUACGCCGAUAUUGUACGUGAAGUCCGAAUUUCACACGACUGAUUUGUUCGUUAGGUUAGAACAAGUGAUGCACAAUCGCUAGCCUAAGAGUGUGAUUCUGACACCUAGGACUGAGAGCUUAGCCUAUCCCAAAAUGGAUAUCAAGGUGGAUUUAAGCGGGAUUAAAUACUAUUUUGGUUCUAUUCAUUUUUAAGCUUUUGUCCAUCAUGAUCCUUGUAUUGAAUUCGAUCAUUUAGUCCAUUUGUUUUAUUUUUUAUGAUGUAUUGUAUCGAGUAGAAGUACUUUUUGCUUGCUGCUUCGGAAGUUGCCUUGUUUGGUUUUGUACCUUAUUUCUCCAUGUGCCUUUUUCUUUUGGGUAUGCAUGUAGGGUUACUUCUCGUUUCGAUUUUUCUCAUCUAUGUUUCGAUUUUCUCAUCUAUGUUUAAAAAUACGCAAGAGAAAGUCAAAGAAGAGGAAAUGGAUUUUUCCUCCUCUUGUUGUGUAUUAAUAUGUUAAAUAGAAAGGGUUGAAAUUAUUUGGUUAGAAAGAAAUAGGAGUGGCCUUUGAGUAAAAUCGUUACAUACAUUGAAAAAUACUGACAAUGACGACACGUGAUGAUUGUUUUCAUUCCGUGUAGCCAUGUCUUGCUUGUCUUUCCCGAUGACCUAUUUACCACGAAUGAGAUUGUGAGAACCCACAUCAGUUGAGGAGAAGAAUGAAGCAUUUUUUAUAAGGGUGUGGAAACCUUUUCCUAAUAGACACGUUUCAAAAACUUUGAGGGAAAGCC
Molecule: long non-coding RNA, 1132 nt
Organism: Cucurbita maxima (winter squash)
Lineage: Eukaryota; Viridiplantae; Streptophyta; Magnoliopsida; Cucurbitales; Cucurbitaceae
Exons: 2
Source: RefSeq, a predicted model, not a curated record